AGAAAUUAAAGAGAAAAAACUGAUAUAAUAAUAUAAUUAAAUGUAUUUUACAUUAACAGUGAAGCAGGAGAUGAGACAUACAAAAGAAAUGGUACAUAGUGAUGCUAAAGUAUAACCCUACGGAAUUGUAUCAAGUUUUUCUUAUUAUGAUGACAAAGAAGGUUAGUAACAAAGGAAAUGAGUACACACAUGUUGCUUGUGUGAACAUAUUACUGAAUUGGAGUGAGAGGAUUAAUUCAUUUACAAUAAAAUUGAUGACUUUCUUGUAGAAGAUCAAAGAUGGAGUGAUGUUCGUUUUCAUAUCAAUUUGUGGUAUUCAUGAUGUCUACAAAAUCUAUUUGAUAUCAUGAAUUCCACAAAUUGAUAUAAAAAACAACAUCACUCCAUUUUUGACCUACUAUAAGAAAGUCGUCAACUUUUUAUUAAUAAAUUAACCUUCCCAUCUAUCUUCAAGACCAAGGGUCCAGUCUUCCUCGCCCAUGCAACAUGUGUUGUUUUAUUCUGUUGCUUCCUUUGUCUUCUAUGACAUUUACUCACCACUCAUCCCACCAAAUAUUGUUGCACUCUGACGUAGCAGUAGGACAUGCCUGAUCAAUAUUGCACUGUUAGUCCCAACUCUAAUCCUCCCUAAGCCACAACAGUGAUGAUGUUCUUGUGAUUUUGGAGGCUGAGGCUUUAUCACAACAUGCAUGACAUUCCAUGAAAAUUUCCUUUGACCUUGCAUUAAUAUCUCCCUUACGAGAGCUUACCUUCAUGAAAAUGUAGGUUGUCCAAUAGUUCUGCACAUCAUUAGAAGUUCUUUUAGUAAGUAAUAAUUAAAGGACCCUCUUCAAACAUAAAGAAAACAUGAAUUUUUCUUUUUUAAUAUUAUGUGUUUAGACAUGAAUUAUAAUGUGUAUUCUUAUAACUUUAUAUUAACGUACCAAUAUAAAUGAAUUUUAUGGAUGAAGCGAAAGCAAUGGAAAGAGAAAACAUGCAAAAUUACGAUGAUAAAAGCAAUAUAUAUUACCUGCUAGUUUAGGCACAAUAUUGUUGCACACACUUCAUGUGCCUUUUCUCAUAUAACAAGAUGCUUCGCACUGCAACAUACACUACUCAUAUCUAUUUAAACUGGGCUUACUUUCAAUAUACAAUUUGGUUCACCAUAUCCUCAUUUUACUAAACUCUUACGUGUAAUAUAAAUAUAUAAAAGAAACAAACUCACACACACUUGAAGAAAUUUAACGUGCAAUGCCUACUUUCCAUGAAGCCAGAAAGUUUUCAUUAAUAAUAUGUUUCCUUUCUGGCUGGAGUGUAAGAGAUUCUAUAUAUGCUGUGAG
RNAcentral lists this long non-coding RNA (1319 nucleotides) under Lupinus angustifolius (narrow-leaved blue lupine). RNAcentral describes it as "long non-coding RNA (LANG_LNC002968)". Lineage: Eukaryota; Viridiplantae; Streptophyta; Magnoliopsida; Fabales; Fabaceae. The record is from RNAcentral.